RNAcentral lists this ribosomal RNA (495 nucleotides) under uncultured bacterium. RNAcentral describes it as "partial 16S ribosomal RNA". It matches the Rfam family "Bacterial small subunit ribosomal RNA", at positions 28 to 507 of the family's 1533-position model. The record is from RNAcentral.
GACGAACGCUGGCGGCGUGCCUAAUACAUGCAAGUAGAACGCUGAAGGAGGAGCUUGCUUCUCUGGAUGAGUUGCGAACGGGUGAGUAACGCGUAGGUAACCUGCCUGGUAGCGGGGGAUAACUAUUGGAAACGAUAGCUAAUACCGCAUAAUAGUAGAUGUUGCAUGACAUUUGCUUAAAAGGUGCAAUUGCAUCACUACCAGAUGGACCUGCGUUGUAUUAGCUUGUUGGUGGGGUACCGGCUCACCAAGGCGACGAUACAUAGCCGACCUGAGAGGGUGAUCGGCCACACUGAGAAUGAGACACGGCCCAGACUCCUACGGGAGGCAGCAGUAGGGAAUCUUAGGCAAUGGACGGAAGUCUGACCGAGCAACGCCGAGUGAGUGAAGUAGGUUAUCGGAUCGUAAAGCUCUGUUGUAAGAGAAGAACGAGUGUGAGGGUGGAAAGUUCACACUGUGACGGUAUCUUACCAGAAAGGAACGGCUAACUACGUG